Molecule: long non-coding RNA, 498 nt
Filed under: Limulus polyphemus (Atlantic horseshoe crab)
Lineage: Eukaryota; Metazoa; Arthropoda; Merostomata; Xiphosura; Limulidae
Description: uncharacterized LOC111085902, transcript variant X1
Source: RNAcentral
ACAAUUUAUGGAAAGAACAAGGAAACUAGGUUUGAUUUCAUGGUAUUCCAAGACAUCGGUCCUUUGUACGUAAGUUCGGAGAAGACAAACCAGAUUCAAAUUUGAGGAGGGUGAUGUUUAAUUUACAAUGAACAAAUGGUAUUACCUUUAUUAUCUUCCCAUGGGAAAGGUUUUUGCAAAAUUGUACAUACAUGAAGGUAGACAGCAACCUUUUUCCACUGGCAGGUUGGACGAUAUCAAGAGGCUACAACCUUCCUUAUGAUCAGUUGCAAUUAUCAACAGUCAAAUGGCGACGUAAGUCGCUAUGGGAAAGUAUGACGUUCCUGUCUUAUGUAUAUUACUUUAAAUUUUCUCAUUCUGGAACAUAUUUUGAUUAGAGUUUCAAAUUUAGAGAGACUAGAUGGCUGUUAGCUUUCCAGUAAAGGUGAGUGUCCGUUGUGCAAAAUAAGUACACCCUCUGCUACUUAUGAUUGUGAAUAAAAAAUUGUUUUCAUUGUA